UUGCUCCCGGAUGUUAGCGGCGGACGGGAUGAAGUAACACGUGGGUAACCUGCCUGUAAGACUGGGAUAACUCCGGGAAACCGGAGCUAAUACCGGAUAGUUCCUUGAACCGCAUGGUUCAAGGAUGAAAGACGGUUUCGGCUGUCACUUACAGAUGGACCCGCGGCGCAUUAGCUAGUUGGUGGGGUAAUGGCUCACCAAGGCGACGAUGCGUAGCCGACCUGAGAGGGUGAUCGGCCACACUGGGACUGAGACACGGCCCAGACUCCUACGGGAGGCAGCAGUAGGGAAUCUUCCGCAAUGGACGAAAGUCUGACGGAGCAACGCCGCGUGAGUGAUGAAGGUUUUCGGAUCGUAAAGCUCUGUUGUUAGGGAAGAACAAGUGCGAGAGUAACUGCUCGCACCUUGACGGUACCUAACCAGAAAGCCACGGCUAACUACGUGCCAGCAGCCGCGGUAAUACGUAGGUGGCAAGCGUUGUCCGGAAUUAUUGGGCGUAAAGGGCUCGCAGGCGGUUUCUUAAGUCUGAUGUGAAAGCCCCCGGCUCAACCGGGGAGGGUCAUUGGAAACUGGGAAACUUGAGUGCAGAAGAGGAGAGUGGAAUUCCACGUGUAGCGGUGAAAUGCGUAGAGAUGUGGAGGAACACCAGUGGCGAAGGCGACUCUCUGGUCUGUAACUGACGCUGAGGAGCGAAAGCGUGGGGAGCGAACAGGAUUAGAUACCCUGGUAGUCCACGCCGUAAACGAUGAGUGCUAAGUGUUAGGGGGUUUCCGCCCCUUAGUGCUGCAGCUAACGCAUUAAGCACUCCGCCUGGGGAGUACGGUCGCAAGACUGAAACUCAAAGGAAUUGACGGGGGCCCGCACAAGCGGUGGAGCAUGUGGUUUAAUUCGAAGCAACGCGAAGAACCCUACCAGGUCUUGACAUCCUCUGACAACCCUAGAGAUAGGGCUUUCCCUUCGGGGACAGAGUGACAGGUGGUGCAUGGUUGUCGUCAGCUCGUGUCGUGAGAUGUUGGGUUAAGUCCCGCAACGAGCGCAACCCUUGAUCUUAGUUGCCAGCAUUCAGUUGGGCACUCUAAGGUGACUGCCGGUGACAAACCGGAGGAAGGUGGGGAUGACGUCAAAUCAUCAUGCCCCUUAUGACCUGGGCUACACACGUGUUGCUACGGACAGAACAAAGGGCUGCAAGCCUGCAAGGCUUAGCCAAUCCCAUAAAUCUGUUAUCAGUUCGGAUCGCAGUCUGCAACUCGAAUGCGUGAAGCUGGAAUCGCUAGUAAUCGCGGAUCACCAUGCCGCGGUGAAUACGUUCCCGGGCCUUGUACACACCGCCCGUC
This 1334-nucleotide ribosomal RNA is filed under the name Bacillus pumilus. Its description in RNAcentral is "bacterial SSU rRNA". It matches the Rfam family "Bacterial small subunit ribosomal RNA", at positions 79 to 1398 of the family's 1533-position model. Lineage: Bacteria; Bacillati; Bacillota; Bacilli; Caryophanales; Bacillaceae. The record is from RNAcentral.